This is a long non-coding RNA of Salvia splendens (bonfire salvia), 740 nucleotides long. RefSeq lists it as uncharacterized. The record is from RefSeq and is a predicted model, not a curated record. The transcript is spliced from 2 exons. NCBI's taxonomy places the organism in Eukaryota, Viridiplantae, Streptophyta, Magnoliopsida, Lamiales, Lamiaceae.
AAUCCCCAAAUUGAAAGUGUUGAGCCUGGACUCGCCGGUCCUUCCUCCUCCAUCUCGAUCCGCUGCCGCCGACACGCAGCGCUGCCGCCGUCGGUCUCGGGCGGUCAACAGGCAGCAGCGGUCGUAUCCUCCUCCAAUUUCUCCUCUCAUUCGUCGGUCUGGCAGGACACCGCGGCGCCGCCAUCUCUCUCUCUCGGCUGCUACACAGUGGUGCAGCACCGCUACCCUCUCACCGUCGCGGAUCGCUGCUCCGUUCAGCGCCUCCGGCAUGUCCGUUUCCCCUCCCCCCUUUUUUCCGGCGAAACCGCCACUCCACUUGGUCGCCGGAGCGCCGUCGGCUCCAGCUCCUUGUCGUCACCGUAUCGCUGGAGACUCGUGCCGGCAUAACCUUCGCCGUCCGCUGCUGCUCUACGGUGUUCGCGGAGCUGCCCUCGAUGCCCCGACGUCGUUCGGUCAGCGCCGAACAACUCUUCCCUAAGCUAAGGGUGGAGGAAGAAGAGAAAAAGGGACGGGGCUGAUCGGAGAGGAAGGCCACGGUGGGUGCGAUUUGGGCUCGGAAGACAAAGGCCCAAAGUUUAGCAAAUUCAUAGUCCUUUGGCCAUUUCUGAAUAUUUGCAAUAGGAUAGUAUUCCACAUUUUUCUUUCCAUUCACAAAUCACAUAUGAAACGUUUAUAUAGGUUAAUGUAUCUUGUUUUCGAGCACUCUUAGUUCAAAGUAAAAUACCACUGUUUUGCUUUCA